This 253-nucleotide ribosomal RNA is filed under the name uncultured bacterium. RNAcentral describes it as "partial 16S ribosomal RNA". It matches the Rfam family "Bacterial small subunit ribosomal RNA", at positions 524 to 776 of the family's 1533-position model. The record is from RNAcentral.
UACAGAGGUCCCGAGCGUUGUUCGGAUUCACUGGGCGUAAAGGGUGCGUAGGUGGCGAGGUAAGUCGGAUGUGAAAGCUCGGAGCUCAACUCCGAAAUGGCAUUGGAAACUACCUUGCUCGAGGGUUGGAGGGGGGACUGGAAUACUUGGUGUAGCAGUGAAAUGCGUAGAUAUCGAGAGGAACACCGGUGGCGAAGGCGGCCAACUGGACGAAUACUGACGCUGAGACUCGAAAGCGUGGGGAGCAAACAGG